Molecule: ribosomal RNA, 427 nt
Filed under: uncultured prokaryote
Description: bacterial SSU rRNA
Rfam family: Bacterial small subunit ribosomal RNA
Source: RNAcentral
UAGGGAAUCUUCCGCAAUGGACGAAAGUCUGACGGAGCAACGCCGCGUGAGUGAAGAAGGUUUUCGGAUCGUAAAACUCUGUUGUCAGAGAAGAACAAGUUGGAGAGUAACUGCUCCAGCCUUGACGGUAUCUGACCAGAAAGCCACGGCUAACUACGUGCCAGCAGCCGCGGUAAUACGUAGGUGGCAAGCGUUGUCCGGAUUUAUUGGGCGUAAAGCGAGCGCAGGCGGUUCCUUAAGUCUGAUGUGAAAGCCCACGGCUCAACCGGGGAAGGUCAUUGGAAACUGGGGAACUUGAGUGCAGAAGAGGAGAGUGGAAUUCCAUGUGUAGCGGUGAAAUGCGUAGAUAUAUGGAGGAACACCAGUGGCGAAGGCGGCCUGCUGGACAUCAACUGACGCUGAGGAGCGAAAGCGUGGGGAGCAAACA